Molecule: ribosomal RNA, 484 nt
Filed under: uncultured bacterium
Lineage: Bacteria
Description: partial 16S ribosomal RNA
Rfam family: Bacterial small subunit ribosomal RNA
Source: RNAcentral
AUUGAACGCUGGCGGCAGGCCUAACACAUGCAAGUCGAGCGGAUGAAGGGUGCUUUCUCCUGUAUUCAGCUGCGGACUGGUGUGUAAUUCCUAUGAAUCUUCCUUGUUGUGUUGUAUAACGUCCUUUAACGGGCGCUAAUACCGCAUACGUCCUUUUGUUGAAAGUUUUGGUUCUUCGGACCUCUCGCUAUCAGAUUAUCCUAGGUCGGAUUAGCUAGUUGGUGGGGUAAAGGCCUACCAAGGCGACGAUCCGUAACUGGUCUGAGAGGAUGAUCAGUCACACUGGAACUGAGACACGGUACAGACUACUACGGGAGGCAGCAGUGGGGAAUAUUGGACAAUGGGCGAAAGCAUGAUCAAGCCAAGCCGCGUGUGUGAAGAAGGUCUUCGGAUUGUAAAGAACUUUAAGUUGGGAGGAAGGGAAGUAAGUUAAAAACUAGAUGUUUUGACGUUAACAACAGAAUAAGCACCGGCUAACUACGUG